GACGAACGCUGGCGGCGUGCCUAAUACAUGCAAGUAGAACGCUGAAGGAGGAGCUUGCUUCUCUGGAUGAGUUGCGAACGGGUGAGUAACGCGUAGGUAACCUGCCUGGUAGCGGGGGAUAACUAUUGGAAACGAUAGCUAAUACCGCAUAACAGUAGAUAUCGCAUGAUAUCUACUUGAAAGGUGCAAUUGCAUCACUACCAGAUGGACCUGCGUUGUAUUAGCUAGUUGGUGAGGUAACGGCUCACCAAGGCGACGAUACAUAGCCGACCUGAGAGGGUGAUGGGCCAACCGGGGCCUGAGACACGGCCCAGCCUCCUACGGGAGGGAGCAGUAGGGAGUCUUCGGCAAGGGACGGAAGCCUGACCGAACAACGCCGCGGGAGUGAAGAAGGUUUUCGGAUCGUAAAGCUGUGUGUUAAGGGAAAAACGAGUGGGGGAGUGGAAAGUUCACCCUGUGGCGGUAUCUAACCAGAAAGGGGCGGCUAACUCCGU
Molecule: ribosomal RNA, 494 nt
Filed under: uncultured bacterium
Lineage: Bacteria
Description: partial 16S ribosomal RNA
Rfam family: Bacterial small subunit ribosomal RNA
Source: RNAcentral